Molecule: long non-coding RNA, 267 nt
Filed under: Hordeum vulgare
Lineage: Eukaryota; Viridiplantae; Streptophyta; Magnoliopsida; Poales; Poaceae
Description: long non-coding RNA (HVUL_LNC010060)
Source: RNAcentral
GGUAGAAAGCGUCCAAAUAUCGCCAUCAUCGCAUUGUAGCAUUCUGUGCCUAGGUUGAGUUGAGCCUUCACAACCAUUACUGGCGCGAUGGCAUCCAGCUGACAAAUCUCAGUUUUCUCGUGGAGAGGAUGUUUUGAAGACUCCAACAUUUCAUAGAAGGCCUUUGCAGAUUCCUCCAUCUCAUCGUCCGAAUCCCGAGCAUCAUCAAAGUCUUGCACGAUGUCUUCGAUCCCGGUACCAUGCUCGUCGGUGCGACGAUGAAUCACC